Theobroma cacao (cacao) is the source of this 573-nucleotide non-coding RNA. The record is from RefSeq and is a predicted model, not a curated record. Lineage: Eukaryota; Viridiplantae; Streptophyta; Magnoliopsida; Malvales; Malvaceae.
UGGGAGUUCCCUUCAAGCUUCCAUAACUCUCUCAAGUUAGCCUCAAUUUUCAUGCUUUUGUGCACCUUUUCACAAAGUCCUUUGUGCUCUGUUACUCUUCCACCUUAAAACCCUCCAAAGUCUUACCUUAAUACUUUCUCUCACCAGCUAGGUGUUUUAGAGAGAGAAGGAAAGAAAGGUGGAAGGCUUGGGUAGUGAGUGAUUCAAGAGUAAUUGAAUAAAUAUCAAGUGGGUGUCAAGAUUCAAGAAACAUAAGGAAGUACAAAAGUAAAGAUAGUGUAUGGUGGUGGCGUGCCGGAGGAAAUAACGAGCGACCGGCAAGUAGAAAUAGCUAGAUACGCCUUUGAACUAAUAGCGAUGUAACAUCCCGCUAUUGUAAGGUUCUUUGAGUUAAAGGUGACUAGAUCCUAGGAUGAAGUGCUCCUCUCUAUCCAUUGCUCGGUAGGUUUGUCAUGAUACUAAAUGUUAGCACCCACGCCCAGAGUCACUUCGUUAACAGUCAGAGUCUUUGAAUGUGUACAUGUAAACUGGAUGUAACUUGUUAAGAAUUGUUUGGCAAACUAUUUAUAUAUA